This 1343-nucleotide ribosomal RNA is filed under the name uncultured bacterium. Its description in RNAcentral is "bacterial SSU rRNA". It matches the Rfam family "Bacterial small subunit ribosomal RNA", at positions 28 to 1381 of the family's 1533-position model. The record is from RNAcentral.
GAUGAACGCUGGCGGCGUGCUUAACACAUGCAAGUCGAACGGUGAAGCAGAGCUUGCUCUGUGGAUCAGUGGCGAACGGGUGAGUAACACGUGAGCAACCUGCCCCUGACUCUGGGAUAAGCGCUGGAAACGGCGUCUAAUACUGGAUAUGAGCUGCGACCGCAUGGUCAGCAGUUGGAAAGAUUUUUCGGUCUGGGAUGGGCUCACGGCCUAUCAGCUUGUUGGUGAGGUAAUGGCUCACCAAGGCGUCGACGGGUAGCCGGCCUGAGAGGGUGACCGGCCACACUGGGACUGAGACACGGCCCAGACUCCUACGGGAGGCAGCAGUGGGGAAUAUUGCACAAUGGGCGAAAGCCUGAUGCAGCAACGCCGCGUGAGGGAUGACGGCCUUCGGGUUGUAAACCUCUUUUAGCAGGGAAGAAGCGAAGGUGACGGUACCUGCAGAAAAAGCGCCGGCUAACUACGUGCCAGCAGCCGCGGUAAUACGUAGGGCGCAAGCGUUAUCCGGAAUUAUUUGGCGUAAAGAGCUCGUAGGCGGUUUGUCGCGUCUGCUGUGAAAUCCCGAGGCUCAACCUCGGGUCUGCAGUGGGUACGGGCAGACUAGAGUGCGGUAGGGGAGAUUGGAAUUCCUGGUGUAGCGGUGGAAUGCGCAGAUAUCAGGAGGAACACCGAUGGCGAAGGCAGAUCUCUGGGCCGUUACUGACGCUGAGGAGCGAAAGGGUGGGGAGCAAACAGGCUUAGAUACCCUGGUAGUCCACCCCGUAAACGUUGGGAACUAGUUGUGGGGUCCAUUCCACGGAUUCCGUGACGCAGCUAACGCAUUAAGUUCCCCGCCUGGGGAGUACGGCCGCAAGGCUAAAACUCAAAGGAAUUGACGGGGACCCGCACAAGCGGCGGAGCAUGCGGAUUAAUUCGAUGCAACGCGAAGAACCUUACCAAGGCUUGACAUAUACGAGAACGGGCCAGAAAUGGUCAACUCUUUGGACACUCGUAAACAGGUGGUGCAUGGUUGUCGUCAGCUCGUGUCGUGAGAUGUUGGGUUAAGUCCCGCAACGAGCGCAACCCUCGUUCUAUGUUGCCAGCACGUAAUGGUGGGAACUCAUGGGAUACUGCCGGGGUCAACUCGGAGGAAGGUGGGGAUGACGUCACAUCAUCAUGCCCCUUAUGUCUUGGGCUUCACGCAUGCUACAAUGGCCGGUACAAAGGGCUGCAAUACCGUGAGGUGGAGCGAAUCCCAAAAAGCCGGUCCCAGUUCGGAUUGAGGUCUGCAACUCGACCUCAUGAAGUCGGAGUCGCUAGUAAUCGCAGAUCAGCAACGCUGCGGUGAAUACGUUCCCGGGUCU